RNAcentral lists this ribosomal RNA (253 nucleotides) under uncultured bacterium. Its description in RNAcentral is "partial 16S ribosomal RNA". It matches the Rfam family "Bacterial small subunit ribosomal RNA", at positions 524 to 776 of the family's 1533-position model. The record is from RNAcentral.
UACAGAGGUGGCAAGCGUUGUUCGGAUUUACUGGGCGUAAAGGGCAGGUAGGUGGUCGCGAAAGUCCAUUGUGAAAGCCUAGGGCUCAACCCUAGAAAUGCAGUGGAAACUCCACGGCUUGAGUGUCGGAGAGGUGAGGGGAAUUCUCGGUGUAGGGGUGAAAUCUGUAGAUAUCGAGAGGAAUACCAGUGGCGAAGGCGCCUCACUGGCCGACAACUGACACUGAGCUGCGAAAGCAAGGGGAGCAAACAGG